RNAcentral lists this ribosomal RNA (468 nucleotides) under uncultured bacterium. Its description in RNAcentral is "partial 16S ribosomal RNA". It matches the Rfam family "Bacterial small subunit ribosomal RNA", at positions 28 to 507 of the family's 1533-position model. The record is from RNAcentral.
GACGAACGCUGGCGGCGUGCUUAACACAUGCAAGUCGAACGGAAAGGCCCUGCUUUUGUGGGGUGCUCGAGUGGCGAACGGGUGAGUAACACGUGAGUAACCUGCCCUUGACUUUGGGAUAACUUCAGGAAACUGGGGCUAAUACCGGAUAGGAGCUCCUGCUGCAUGGUGGGGGUUGGAAAGUUUCGGCGGUUGGGGGUGGACUCGCGGCUUCUCCGCCUGUUGGUGGGGUAGUGGCGUACCAAGGCUUUGACGGGUAGCCGGCCUGAGCGGGGGACCGGAGACAUGGGGGCUGAGGGACGGCGCAGGCGGGGACGGGAGGCAGGAGGGGGGAGGGGUGCAGAGUGGGGGGAAGCGUGAGGGAGGAGCGCGGGGUGCGGGAGGACGGCCUGGGGGGUGGAAGCGGCUGUGGCGUGUGAGGAAGCGGGAGUGACGGUAAUGGGUAAAGAAGCACCGGCUAACUACGUG